UGAUACACGCAUGUGUAGAAAUGAAAAUUUCUAUCAGCCGUAUUCACCAUCCCGAAUUUGUAGAUCGUCAAUCAAAAGGAAAACACAGAUUUCUAGCACUCGGAAGAAAGCGAAAAACAUGAACAAUCCUUAACAAUACUGUCCAUGUAUAUUUAGAUAACUUUUAAAAAUAUAUAUAAAGCUUUACACUGUAACAGUCAGAUUCCGGUAAUAGUUACAAGACUGUGACGUCACACUCGAGUAAGCCGUCUGACGCGUCUGACGUAUGCAAGACAGCGAAUGUGAAAGUACAUAGAAACUCUACAGACUGAUGAGAAUUACUUUAGACGGGGUACGUCAACGAAUAGGCACGACAGCGAAAAUACGGAAGUCACUUCGGGGACGUGUCGCAGAAUCGCAUAACUCUACACGAGAUUAAAAGAAAGAAAGAAAAGACAAUGAAGACAACCAUGUAAAAACAAAUUCAAUCAAUUAAAUUAUCAGCAGAUUGAAA
Molecule: long non-coding RNA, 493 nt
Organism: Ostrea edulis (European flat oyster)
Lineage: Eukaryota; Metazoa; Mollusca; Bivalvia; Ostreida; Ostreidae
Exons: 3
Source: RefSeq, a predicted model, not a curated record